RNAcentral lists this ribosomal RNA (497 nucleotides) under uncultured bacterium. Its description in RNAcentral is "partial 16S ribosomal RNA". It matches the Rfam family "Bacterial small subunit ribosomal RNA", at positions 28 to 507 of the family's 1533-position model. The record is from RNAcentral.
GAUGAACGCUGGCGGCGUGCCUAAUACAUGCAAGUCGAGCGAACAGAUGAGGAGCUUGCUCCUCUGACGUUAGCGGCGGACGGGUGAGUAACACGUGGAUAACCUACCUAUAAGACUGGGAUAACUUCGGGAAACCGGAGCUAAUACCGGAUAAUAUAUUGAACCGCAUGGUUCAAUAGUGAAAGACGGUUUUGCUGUCACUUAUAGAUGGAUCCGCGCCGCAUUAGCUAGUUGGAAAGGUAACGGCUUACCAAGGCAACGAUGCGUAGCCGACCUGAGAGGGUGAUCGGCCACACUGGAACUGAGACACGGUCCAGACUCCUACGGGAGGCAGCAGUAGGGAAUCUUCCGCAAUGGGCGAAAGCCUGACGGAGCAACGCCGCGUGAGUGAUGAAGGUCUUCGGAUCGUAAAACUCUGUUAUUAGGGAAGAACAAAUGUGUAAGUAACUAUGCACGUCUUGACGGUACCUAAUCAGAAAGCCAUGGCUAACUACGUG